RNAcentral lists this ribosomal RNA (778 nucleotides) under uncultured Neocallimastigales. Its description in RNAcentral is "partial large subunit ribosomal RNA". It matches the Rfam family "Eukaryotic large subunit ribosomal RNA", at positions 24 to 649 of the family's 3401-position model. The record is from RNAcentral. Lineage: Eukaryota; Fungi; Neocallimastigomycota; Neocallimastigomycetes; Neocallimastigales.
UAUCUCUGUAGAGUCUGCAUAUCAAUAAGCGGAGGAAAAGAAACUAACUAGGAUUCCCUCAGUAACGGCGAGUGAAGCGGGAAGAGCUCAAAUUUGAAAUCUUAAAGGGUUUCCCUUUACGAAUUGUAGUUUAAAGAAGUGUUUUCUGUUGGAGUUUCGGUAAAAGUUCUUUGGAAUAGGACAUCAUAGAGGGUGAGAAUCCCGUAUUUGACCGUUAUUUUCAGCUGUGUGAUACACUUUCAAAGAGUCGGAUUGUUUGGGAAUGCAGUCCAAAAUGGGUGGUAAAUUUCAUCUAAAGCUAAAUACUGGCGAGAGACCGAUAGCGAACAAGUACCGUGAGGGAAAGAUGAAAAGAACUUUGAAAAGAGAGUUAAACAGUACGUGAAAUUGUCAAAAGGGAAGCGUUUGACACCAGUGUUGUUUUCUCGAAAAUCAAUUAAAAAUGGCUGGAUUUUGGGUUGUAUUGACUUUAUCAGCUUUCUGCACUCUUUUCAUGUCUUUUUUAAUGCACUUUUCGUUUAACAAGUCAACAUCAAUUUCUUUUGUUGUAAAAAGGGUCAUUGGAAGGUGGCUUUCUUUUCGGAGAAAGUGUUUAUAGCCUUUGACUCCUGCAAUCGGAGAGACUGAGGUCUGCAGCGUAGAUCCUUCGGGGUUAGAUACAUUUGUGCUAAGUUAUAGCUUUUCAUAGACAACUUGUUGACUUAUGUUAAGUCUUGUAAUCUUACUCGCAGUAUGCUAUUUUACCUACGCUUAGGAUGUUGAGUAGCGACAUACGCAC